Molecule: ribosomal RNA, 305 nt
Filed under: uncultured bacterium
Lineage: Bacteria
Description: bacterial SSU rRNA
Rfam family: Bacterial small subunit ribosomal RNA
Source: RNAcentral
GCCUACGGGACGCAGCAGUGAGGAAUAUUGGUCAAUGGUCGGGAGACUGAACCAGCCAAGCCGCGUGAGGGAUGAAGGUACAGAGUAUCGUAAACCUCUUUUGUCAGGGAACAAAGGCGGGGACGUGUCCCCGGAUGAGUGUACCUGAAGAAAAAGCAUCGGCUAACUCCGUGCCAGCAGCCGCGGUAAUACGGAGGAUACGAGCGUUAUCCGGAUUUAUUGGGUUUAAAGGGUGCGCAGGCGGUCUGUUAAGUCAGCGGUCAAAGCCCGGGGCUCAACCCCGGCCCGCCGUUGAAACUGGCAGU